Molecule: ribosomal RNA, 2959 nt
Filed under: Spiroplasmataceae bacterium
Lineage: Bacteria; Bacillati; Mycoplasmatota; Mollicutes; Entomoplasmatales; Spiroplasmataceae
Description: 23S ribosomal RNA
Rfam family: Bacterial large subunit ribosomal RNA
Source: RNAcentral
AUAUAAGUUACUAAGAGUGUAUGGUGGAUGACUUGGGACUAAAAGACGAAGAAGGACGUGAUAUUCUGCGAUAAGUUUCGGGGAGCUGAAAAUAGGCUUUGAUCCGGAAAUUUCCGAAUGGGGCAACCCUUUACCAGUAAUGUGGUAAAAUUUAAGUUUCAUUAGAUACUUAGAAGUGAACCUGGAGAACUGAAACAUCUUAGUACCCAGAGGAAAAGAAAAUAAAUAAUGAUUCCCUUAGUAGUGGCGAGCGAAACGGGAAAAGCCCAAACCAAUUGCAUAAAUUGGGGUUGUAGGAAAGUGCAUUAAGAGUUACAAAGGUUAUUGAUAGAAGAAGUAGUUGGAAAGCUACGCCAAAGACAGUGAUAGCCUCGUAUUCGAAAUCAAUAACUCUCUGCAUUUCAUCCUGAGUACCACGAGACACGUGAAAUCUUGUGGGAAUCAACGGGGACCACCCCGUAAGGCUAAAUACUAAUUAGUCACCGAUAGUGAACUAGUACCGUGAGGGAAAGUUGAAAAGAACCUCGGAAGAGGAGUGAAAUAGAACCUGAAACCAUAACACUUACAAGAAGUCAAAGGGCGUUAAAGCCUAAUGGCGUGCUUUUUGCAGAAUGAGCCGGCGAGUUAUUAUUAUUGGCAAGGUUAAGUCUCUCUGAGAUGGAGCCGUAGCGAAAGCGAGUUUUAAUAGAGCGUUAAGUCAAUGAUUAUAGACCCGAAACUAGGUGAGCUAACCAUGAGCAGGCUGAAGUGGAGAUAAAACUCCAUGGAGGGCCGAACCGGUGUUCGUUGAAAUGACCUCGGAUGACUUGUGGUUAGGGUUGAAAUUACAAACGAACCUAGAGAUAGCUGGUUCUCCCCGAAAUAGUUGUACGACUAGCGCAAGAGUUAAAAAUAGUGGGGGUAGAGCACUGAAUAGAGAAGGGCCCUUAACCGGGUACCACCUCUAAUUAAACUCCGAAUACCAUUAUUCCAUUAUCUUGUAGUCAGUCUAUGGGGGAUAAGCUCCAUGGACGCGAGGGAAACAGCCCAGAUUAUCAGCUAAGGUCCCUAAAUAGUAUUAAGUGUACAAGGAAGUUGUAAGACUAAAACAGCUAGGAGGUUGGCUUAGAAGCAGCCAUCCUUUAAAGAGUGCGUAACAGCUCACUAGUCUAGUCUUGCAGCGCCGAGAAUGUAAGGGGGCUCAAAUACUAUACCGAAGCUAUAAACUAGUUGGUAAUAAAAGAAUUAUUUAAUAAUUAAUCUUGUUAAUGUUUUUCUGUUGCCAACUAGUGGUAGGGGAGCGUAGUAAAUACGCUGAAGCUAAACCGUAAGGAUUAGUGGAGUUAUUACUAGUGAGAAUGCCGGCGUGAGUAACGAUAGAAGGUGAGAAUCCUUCUGGCCGUAUGACCAAGGUUUCCAGGGUGAAGGUCGUCUACCCUGGGUUAGUCGGGACCUAAGGCGAGGCCGAAAGGCGUAGUCGAUGGACAACAGGUUAAUAUUCCUGUACUAAUCAUAAUUACUGAUGGAGUGACGGAGUCAGCUAAGAUAAACCAGUUAUUGAUUCUGGUCUAAGCACAAAGAGGGUUUGGUAGGCAAAUCCGCCAAGCAUAACCUUGAAGUGUGAUGGGUAGAGCAAUCGAAUUAUCUGAACGCUUUGCUUCCUAGAAAAGCUUCUAAAGAUAUAAUUAUGGUACCCGUACCAAGAACGAACACACGUGGUUGGGGAGAAUAUCCUCAGGCCAGCGAGACAACUAUAGCUAAGGAACUCGGCAAAUUAGCCCCGUAAGUUCGCGAGAAGGGGUGCCUAGGGUGAAACCUAGGCCGCAGUGAAGAGACACCGGCAACUGUUUAUCAAAAACACAGCUCUCUGCUAAGGCGUAAGCCGAUGUAUAGGGGGCGACGCCUGCCCAGUGCUCCAAGGUUAAGAGGGGGGGUUAGCUAGUAGUAAUACUAGUGAAGCUCUGAAUUGAAGCCCGAGUGAACGGCGGCCGUAACUAUGACGGUCCAAAGGUAGCGAAACUCCUUGUCAGGUAAGUUCUGACCCGCAUGAAAGGCGUAAUGACUGGUGUACUGUCUCAGCUAUAGACUCGGUGAAAUCUUAGUACCGGUGAAGAUGCCGGUUACCCGCAACUAGACGGAAAGACCCCGUGGAGCUUUACUGCAACUUGAUAUUGGGUUUUUCUCUCGUUUGUACAGGAUAGGUGGGAGACUGUGAUGCUAGGACGCUAGUUCUAGUGGAGUCGUUGGUGGGAUACCACCCUAACGAGCGGGAAAUUCUAACUUAUUGGUUUACAACCAAAAGGACAGUGUUUGGUGGGUAGUUUGACUGGGGCGGUCGCCUCCUAAAAAGUAACGGAGGUGUUCAUAAGGUAUCCUCAAUAGGUAUAGAAAUCCUAUGUAGAGCGUAAAGGUAUAAGGAUGCUUAACUGUGAGACAGACAAGUCGAACAGAUACGAAAGUAGGACUUAAUGAUCCGGCGGUUACCUAGUGGUAGGGCCGUCGCUAAACGGAUAAAAGUUACCCCGGGGAUAACAGGCUAAUACUUCCCAAGAGACCACAUCGACGGAAGUGUUUGGCACCUCGAUGUCGACUCAUCGCAUCCUGGAGGUGAAGAAGCUUCCAAGGGUUGGGCUGUUCGCCCAUUAAAGCGGUACGUGAGUUGGGUUUAGAACGUCGUGAGACAGUUUGGUCCCUAUCUGUUGUGGGCGUAGGAAAUUUGCGAAGAGCUGCUCUUAGUACGAGAGGACCAGAGUGGACUGACCAAUGGUGCACCAGUUGUCACGUCAGUGGCACAGCUGGAUAGCUACGUCAGGACUAGAUAAGCACUGAAAGCAUAUAAGUGCGAAGCUAACUUCAAGAUAAGAUUUCCCAUCCCGAGAGGGAGUAAGAUACCUUCAAUACCAGGAGGUUGAUAGGUAGAGAAUGUAAGUGCAGUAAUGUAUUUAGUUAAUCUAUACUAAUUUAUCGAGGACUUAUUUUU